CGCCAUGACAGACCGCGCACACGUUAAUGCCUCGUGGGGCGCUCAACGGGCAGGCACAGCGCCUCCCGUCGGCGCCCURCCCCUGCCGUGCCCUCGCGCGAGCGAGCACGCCCGGCGGGUCCAACAAACCCACGGCGCGGAAGGCGCCAAGGAUCACAACGUCGGAGCGUCGCCCCCCAUCAUGGCCCCGUCCGCGGCAAUCCAUGCGGGGGAUGUGCGUCUCCCUAGAUUGAAUGACAUGUAAAACGACUCUCGGCAACGGAUAUCUCGGCUCUCGCAUCGAUGAAGAACGUAGCAAAAUGCGAUACUUGGUGUGAAUUGCAGAAUCCCGUGAACCAUCGAAUCUUUGAACGCAAGUUGCGCCCGAAGCCAUCCGGCCGAGGGCACGCCUGCCUGGGCGUCACGCAUCGCGCCGCCCCACUGCCCCCCUUCCUUCUCUGGGACGGGGGACACGGUGCGGAGACUGGCCUCCCGUGCGCCCCGGCGUGCGGAUGGCCCAAAUGAGAUCCCCCGGUGAUGCACGCCACGACGAUUGGUGGUUGAUUGCUCGACUCACGUGCCGUCGUGCCCCGCAGCAUCGCCGGCCAGGGCAUCCGGAAGGACCCAACGGCGUGCG
Molecule: small RNA, 616 nt
Filed under: Pinguicula mariae
Lineage: Eukaryota; Viridiplantae; Streptophyta; Magnoliopsida; Lamiales; Lentibulariaceae
Description: eukaryotic LSU rRNA
Rfam family: 5.8S ribosomal RNA (bases 248-403)
Source: RNAcentral